UUGAUUACUGUGAGACAAAAAUUGUAAUUUUACAAUUUUGUUGCCAUGACAGUUCAAAGUUUUUUCAGAAUUAAUAUACUUUUACCUUUUUGUUUUUGUAAUUAAUAGUGCUGUCAAAUUAUUAAUUGCGAUUAAUCGCAUCCAAAAUAAUUUUUUGUUCACAUAAUAUAUGUGUACUUUGUAUAUUUAUCAUGUAAAUAUAAAAGCACACACAUACAGUAUAUAUUUUGAAAAUAUUUACAUAUUAUAUAUAAAUAUGUACAUUAUAUAAUCGUAACAUAUUUUUCUUUAAAAAAAAAACAUACAUGUGUUUUUAUUAAUAUAUACAUAAUAAAUAUACACAGUACACGUAUAUUAUGUGAAUAAAAUUAUUUUCUUUUGGAUGCGAUUAAUUGCGAUUAAUCGUUUGACAGCACUAGUAAUUAACAUUAAUUGCAGCUCUGUGGACAUAGAGAGCAGAAGGCUGCUUGCAUGUUGUAAGGCUAACAGUUGUAUCUGGAUUACUGGCUUACGGGUUUUUUCCUGCCGUCCAGGCACUCAGUGUUGAUUAGCUAAGACUGGCCUGGUGAGGAACACCUCGUAGUGCCAGGGACAUCUACUGGGAUAGAGGUGAAAGAGGAGACACCAGGGUUUGUGUACUUCGCUCCAGGACAGCCCGCUGUGCCCUGCUCCACAUACUAGAAAUUGUCUAAUUAUUUUGGGAAUACACUGAGGCUGUAUUUUAUAUUCAUAUGGAGGCUUGAAAUUAAUUUCGGGGUCACUGAGAAAAAGCACUCCUCUAAAAAGUUUGAACCCUCUGGAAUCCAACAUCUUUUAUAUGUAAUUAUUGUAUCGCUAAGGCAAGAAUUCCUAUUUCCAUUGCUCAUAUUACUUGUUAUAUUUUUGUGAAGGUUGUUUCUCAGUGUUCAACUUUUGCAUCGUGUUAUGGUCAGGAAUGAUACUUCAAAACAUGCAGUGUUUUGAGGGGAGGUGUGCUAUUACUUUUCUAAAGUGAUUAGGCUAAAAGCAUUGGCAUAGAUGAUAUGACAAAUAGAAAAAUAAACAGACUUGCAUCACUUACAUGAACAUUUACA
Long non-coding RNA from Carassius carassius (crucian carp), 1073 nucleotides. RefSeq lists it as uncharacterized. Lineage: Eukaryota; Metazoa; Chordata; Actinopteri; Cypriniformes; Cyprinidae. The transcript is spliced from 2 exons. The record is from RefSeq and is a predicted model, not a curated record.